UGAGUGCGAGUUGCUACGGCAACGAAGUUGGUGACGUCAAGCUUCCAAGAAAAGCCCUAUACCCGUUAAGGCAUCAUGGCCUGUACCCGAAACCGACACAGGUGGGGUGGUAGAGAAUACCGAGGGGCGCGAGGUAACUCUCUCUAAGGAACUCGGCAAAAUGGCCCCGUAACUUCGGGAGAAGGGGUGCCACCGCAAGGUGGUCGCAGUGAAGAGGCCCAGGCGACUGUUUACCAAAAACACAGGUCUCCGCUAAGUCGCAAGACGAUGUAUGGGGGCUGACGCCUGCCCAGUGCCGGAAGGUUAAGGAAGCCGGUUAGCGUAAGCGAAGCUGGCGACUGAAGCCCCGGUGAACGGCGGCCGUAACAAUAACGGUCAUAAGGUAGCGAAAUUCCUUGUCGGGUAAGUUCCGACCCGCACGAAAGGCGUAACGAUCUGGGCGCUGUCUCGGAGAGAGGCUCGGCGAAAUAGAAUUGUCUGUGAAGAUGCGGACUACGUGCACCCGGACAGAAAGACCCUAUGAAGCUUUACUGUAGCUUGGUAUUGUGCUCGGGCUCGGAAUGCGCAGGAUAGGUGGGAGGCUAUGAACCAUUGCUUGCGGGUGAUGGUGAGCCACUGGUGAGAUACCACUCUUUCCGAGCUAGAGUUCUAACGGCCACCCGUUAUCCGGGGGCCGGACAGUAUCAGGUGGGCAGUUUGACUGGGGCGGUCGCCUCCUAAAAGGUAACGGAGGCGCGCAAAGGUUUGCUCAGGCUGGUUGGAAAUCAGCCGACGAGUGUAAAAGCAGAAGCAAGCUUGACUGUGAGACCUACAAGUCGAACAGGGAGGAAACUCGGCUUUAGUGAUCCGACGGUUCUGCGUGGAAGGGCCGUCGCUCAACGGAUAAAAGUUACUCUAGGAUAACAGGCUGAUCUCCCCCAAGAGUUCACAUCGACGGGGAGGUUUGGCACCUCGAUGUCGGCUCAUCGCAACCUGGGGCUGAAGUCGGUCCCAAGGGUUGGGCUGUUCGCCCAUUAAAGCGGUACGCGAGCUGGGUUCAGAACGUCGUGAGACAGUUCGGUCCAUAUCCGGUGCAUGCGCAGGAAUAUUGAGAGGAUUUCUCCCUAGUACGAGAGGACCGGGAGGAACGCACCUCUGGUGUACCAGUUAUCGUGCCAACGGUAAACGCUGGGUAGCCAUGUGCGGAGAGGAUAACCGCUGAAAGCAUCUAAGUGGGAAGCCCACCUCAAGAUGAGUAUUCCCAUGGCGUUAGCCAGUAAGGUCACGGGAAGAACACCCGUUGAUAGGCUCUAUGUGGAAGCGCAGUAAUGCGUGAAGCAGAGGAGUACUAAUAGACCGAGGGCUUGAGC
This 1349-nucleotide ribosomal RNA is filed under the name metagenome. Its description in RNAcentral is "bacterial LSU rRNA". It matches the Rfam family "Bacterial large subunit ribosomal RNA", at positions 1564 to 2925 of the family's 2925-position model. The record is from RNAcentral.